Molecule: ribosomal RNA, 449 nt
Filed under: uncultured bacterium
Lineage: Bacteria
Description: partial 16S ribosomal RNA
Rfam family: Bacterial small subunit ribosomal RNA
Source: RNAcentral
AAUGAACGCUGGCGGCAGGCCCAACACAUGCAAGUCGAACGGAUCCUUCGGGAUUAGUGGCGGACGGGUGAGUAACGCGUGGGAACAUACCCUUUGGUACGGAAUAGCCUCGGGAAACUGGGAGUAAUACCGUAUGUGGUCGAGAGACGAAAGAUUUAUCGCCAAAGGAUUGGCCCGCGUUGGAUUAGGUAGUUGGUGGGGUAAUGGCCUACCAAGCCGACGAUCCAUAGCUGGUUUGAGAGGAUGAUCAGCCACACUGGGACUGAGACACGGCCCAGACUCCUACGGGAGGCAGCAGUGGGGAAUCUUAGACAAUGGGGGAAACCCUGAUCUAGCCAUGCCGCGUGAUCGAUGAAGGCCUUAGGGUUGUAAAGAUCUUUCAGGUGGGAAGAUAAUGACUGUACCACCAGAAGAAGCCCCGGCUAACUCCGUGUCAGCCGCCGCAGUAA